RNAcentral lists this small nuclear RNA (19 nucleotides) under Arabidopsis thaliana (thale cress). Its description in RNAcentral is "snRNA_16904". The record is from RNAcentral. Lineage: Eukaryota; Viridiplantae; Streptophyta; Magnoliopsida; Brassicales; Brassicaceae.
GCGACGCAUGCGCCCGCCG